Molecule: non-coding RNA, 29 nt
Filed under: Mus musculus (house mouse)
Lineage: Eukaryota; Metazoa; Chordata; Mammalia; Rodentia; Muridae
Source: RNAcentral
UUGUUCUAGUUAAGGUUUUAACAGGCUGG